RNAcentral lists this ribosomal RNA (397 nucleotides) under uncultured bacterium. Its description in RNAcentral is "partial 16S ribosomal RNA". It matches the Rfam family "Bacterial small subunit ribosomal RNA", at positions 523 to 918 of the family's 1533-position model. The record is from RNAcentral.
AUACGUAGGUGACAAGCGUUAUCCGGAUUUACUGGGCGUAAAGGGCGUGUAGGCGGUCUUGCAAGUCAGAAGUGAAAUUCCUGAGCUCAACUCGGGCGCUGCUUCCGAAACUGCAGGACCUGAGUGCUGGAGGGGAUAGCGGAAUUCCUAGUGGAGCGGUAAAAUGCGCAGAUAUUAGGAAGAACACCGGUGGCGAAGGCGGCUAUCUGGACUGUAACUGACGCUGAGGCGCGAAAGUGUGGGGAGCAAACAGGAUUAGAUACCCUGGUAGUCCACACUGUAAACGAUGAAUGCUAGGUGUAGGGGGUAUCGACCCCUUCUGUGCCGCAGUCAACACAAUAAGCAUUCCGCCUGGGGAGUACGGCCGCAAGGUUGAAACUCAAAGGAAUUGACGGGG